RNAcentral lists this ribosomal RNA (770 nucleotides) under alpha proteobacterium SCGC AAA003-K03. RNAcentral describes it as "SSU rRNA". It matches the Rfam family "Bacterial small subunit ribosomal RNA", at positions 56 to 873 of the family's 1533-position model. Lineage: Bacteria; Pseudomonadati; Pseudomonadota; Alphaproteobacteria. The record is from RNAcentral.
UGCAAGUCGAACGAAGUAGCAAUACUUAGUGGCAGACGGGUGAGUAACAUGUGGGUAUCUUCCCUUUGGUGAGGAAUAACACGAGGAAACUUGUGCUAAUACUUCAUAAGUCUUUACGGAGAAAGCUUUAUGCGCCAUUGGAUGAGCCCGCACUUGAUUAGUUUGUUGGUGGGGUAAUGGCCUACCAAGACAAUGAUCAAUAGCUGAUUUGAGAGGAUGAUCAGCCACAUUGGGACUGAGACACGGCCCAAACUUCUACGGAAGGCAGCAGUAGGGAAUCUUGCACAAUGGAGGAAACUCUGAUGCAGCGAUGCCGCGUGAGUGAAGAAGGCCUUUGGGUUGUAAAGCUCUUUCGUCGGGGAAGAAAAUGACUGUACCCGAAUAAGAAGGUCCGGCUAACUUCGUGCCAGCAGCCGCGGUAAUACGAAGGGACCUAGCGUAGUUCGGAAUUACUGGGCUUAAAGAGUUCGUAGGUGGUUAAAAAAGUUGGUGGUGAAAUCCCAGAGCUUAACUCUGGAACUGCCAUCAAAACUUUUUAGCUAGAGUAUGAUAGAGGAAAGCAGAAUUUCUAGUGUAGAGGUGAAAUUCGUAGAUAUUAGAAAGAAUACCAAUUGCGAAGGCAGCUUUCUGGAUCAUUACUGACACUGAGGAACGAAAGCAUGGGUAGCGAAGAGGAUUAGAUACCCUCGUAGUCCAUGCCGUAAACGAUGUGUGUUAGACGUUGGAAAUUUAUUUUCAGUGUCGCAGCGAAAGCAAUAAACACACCGCCC